RNAcentral lists this ribosomal RNA (237 nucleotides) under uncultured bacterium. RNAcentral describes it as "partial 16S ribosomal RNA". It matches the Rfam family "Bacterial small subunit ribosomal RNA", at positions 15 to 249 of the family's 1533-position model. The record is from RNAcentral.
GAUCAUGGCUCAGGAUGAACGCUAGCGACAGGCUUAACACAUGCAAGUCGAGGGGCAGCGGGGGUAGCAAUACCCGCCGGCGACCGGCGCACGGGUGAGUAACGCGUAUGCAACUUACCUAUCAGAGGGGGAUAACCCGGCGAAAGUCGGACUAAUACCGCAUGAAGCAGGGCCCCGCAUGGGGAUAUUUGCUAAAGAUUCAUCGCUGAUAGAUAGGCAUGCGUUCCAUUAGGCAGG